CAGCAGCCGCGGGAAUACGAAGGGUGCAAGCGUUAAUCGGAAUUACUGGGCGUAAAGCGUGCGUAGGCGGUUUGUUAAGUCUGCUGUGAAAUCCCCGGGCUCAACCUGGGAAUGGCAAUGGAAACUGGACGGCUAGAGUGUGUCAGAGGAUGGUGGAAUUCCCGGUGUAGCGGUGAAAUGCGUAGAGAUCGGGAGGAACAUCAGUGGCGAAGGCGGCCAUCUGGGACAACACUGACGCUGAAGCACGAAAGCGUGGGGAGCAAACAGGAUUAGAUACCCCAGUAGUCCCUGUCUCUUAUAC
RNAcentral lists this ribosomal RNA (301 nucleotides) under uncultured bacterium. RNAcentral's name for it is "partial 16S ribosomal RNA". It matches the Rfam family "Bacterial small subunit ribosomal RNA", at positions 509 to 807 of the family's 1533-position model. The record is from RNAcentral.